Molecule: long non-coding RNA, 579 nt
Organism: Oncorhynchus tshawytscha (Chinook salmon)
Lineage: Eukaryota; Metazoa; Chordata; Actinopteri; Salmoniformes; Salmonidae
Source: Ensembl
GGAUCCCUCCUCCAACCAAAUCUCGCUUUGGGUCCCCAAAAAGCUAGAGCUGGCCCUUUGUGUGUGUCUGUCCGCCAGCCUGUCUUUCUUGGAGUUCCAGAUGUGGCUGGAGGAAUAGUGGUGGCCGCUGGAUGGCAACUUUAAUACUGGAGAGCAUGUAGGAGCUCAUGGUCAUGACAUGAAUCUAUACAGUUAAUACAAGUAUCCUAUAUUAGAUACUACUACAAUGAUAGCUAGCUAGUACAUGUACAUAUGGAUUUACAGUACUAAUAAUAUUUUAUUAAUAUACAGGGUCCACUUUGACCCAAGACAACAAUCCAGACUAAGCAUUUGCAAAAGGAGCGGUGAGCACCUAUCAGAUCCCUCUGCUCUCCUUCACCUCUUGGGGCAGCCUUUGGGGCAACCAUUGCUGAGGCCAGGAAGAAGUCUGCCAGUCUAUCACGUUCACUGUCUUCAAACUCCCUGUUAUAGAUGAGCCAAGGCACAGCGUGCAUGUAAUUCCACAUCUUUAAUAAAGUGAAACCUUCACGAAAAAACAGGACCUGAGCCCUAGGACCAUGCCUCAGGAUUACCUGACAU